Molecule: long non-coding RNA, 1753 nt
Organism: Pan paniscus (pygmy chimpanzee)
Lineage: Eukaryota; Metazoa; Chordata; Mammalia; Primates; Hominidae
Source: Ensembl
CAUCCUGAGGUCACUGUCUGGUGUGAGGGGAGGACAGCUGAUAACUACGUGGUUAUGCAGUGUUCCCAGGCAUCACUGGUCCCCAGCCAUGGCCUCUGCCUACCACUGCCACAAAUACAGAAGGAAUGCCAUCCCCUUCAGACUCAGCUUUAAUCCUCAGAGUUUCAUCUAGUCCUUUAUGGGCAGAUGUUACCCAAACCCAAAAUUUCCACAGGCCCUCUUGAUUUUUUCACAGUGAUCUAGAUCAGACAUUGAGCCUAUGCAUAUUACACCCCUGCACUGACUUUCUGAUUUCCAAAGCAAUUCUACAAUCUCUGCAACCCACUCAAAGUUUUUCUUUACCAUCUGGAGCCCUUCCAGAGUUGCUUCUUUGAGGUCACAAUAAGACUGUUUGUCUUUCUGUUUGCUUUGAUCUCUUGAUGGCCAGAGUCUCUGGGUAUCAUUAUCAGUAACAUCAUCAGCAACAACAACUUCUCUGGUGGUUACAUCAACACCAAAUUCAAUCUUUGUGUCAACUUGUACACAGUUCUGUGGCAACCAGGAUUUCUCCAGUAUUUUAAAAAUAACCUGUGCAGCAUGACUCACGCUAGCUACUUCACUUUGGCCUUUACCAAGUCCAGCACAGCAAAAUUUCACAGCAAUUCACUGUUUCUCAUUACUGGCAGCACCCUUGAAAACAUCUCCACAUUAGGCAUGGUUAGGUGUACUCUCCACCAGGCAACAGAAGACUCUGUGGAUUAGAGCAAAGGAAAGGAAUGUGGACAGAUGCAUAGGGAAAAUGAAAUGCUGGAGAAAGUGACCUGACUUGUUUCAGGCCAGUACUCCUACCGAGAGCUAGAAAACAUGGACAAAACUGUAGGAAGGAACCAGAAAGCUAGCAAAAGAACAAGGACUUGGGGUUACAGAGCCCAGAGAGAAGGUAAGCCAGGACCAGGAAACUCAGCUUUGGGUGUCGUUUUUCCACAGAGGUACCUGAUGAUUUUCCAGCAGAAGCCGAGGGGCUGAGAGGUGGAGAGCAACCAAAUGGCCAUGUCUAAGACAGCCUUCUGCUGUAAAGGGUUCUACAGGACAUGCUGUACAGGGGAAAGCACCAGCCACCAUAAGACUUUGAGCACUUGAACUGGGGCUGGUGCAAUUGAGGGAUUAAAAUUUUGAUUUGAUUUAAUUGUAAUUACUCUAUAGUUAGUCUCAAUAGCCUCAUGAGGCUACUGCUUAGCACAGGUCUGGAGCCUCCCUUAGGUCCUGAGAAGGGCAGUGCAGCCACCUGGGAAGUGUGUGGGCUUUGUAGAUGACCAAUGCUUGGUUUGAAUCUUGCCUUGCCCCAUAGUAACCAUGCAAACUUGGUGAAUAAUUCCCCCCUCUGUGUUCAGUUUCUUCAUCUAUAAAAGGAGAAUAAAUAGGGCCAGGUGUGGUGGCUCACACCUGUAAUCCUAGCACUUUGGGAGGCCAAGGCAGGCAGAUCAUGAGGUCAGGAGUUCGAGACCAGACUGACCAACAUGGUGAAACCCCGUCUCUACUAAAAACACAAAAAUUAGCAAGGUGUAGUGGCACGCGCCUGUAAUCCCAGCUACUCAGGAGGUUGAGGCAGGAGAAUCGCUUGAAUCUGGGAGGCAGAGGUUGCAGUGAGCCAAGAUGGCGCCACUGCACUCCAGCCUGAGUGACAGAGUGAGACUCUGUCUCAAAAAAAUAAAUAAAUAAAAGAAUAAAUAAAGUAAAGCCUACCCCAUAAAAAGGUUUCACGUACUGGUGCCUG